AGAAUCAACGCUGGCGGCGUGCCUAACACAUGCAAGUCGCACGAGAAAGGGGCUUCGGCCCUGAGUAAAGUGGCGCACGGGUGAGUAACACGUGAAUCAUCUACCUCCGAGUGGGGAAUAACCUAGAGAAAUCUGGGCUAAUACCGCAUAACACUUACGAGUCAAAGCAGCAAUGCGCUUGGAGAGGAGUUCGCGGCCGAUUAGCUAGUUGGCGGGGUAAUGGCCCACCAAGGCGAUGAUCGGUAUCCGGCCUGAGAGGGCGCACGGACACACUGGAACUGAAACACGGUCCAGACUCCUACGGGAGGCAGCAGUGGGGAAUUUUGCGCAAUGGGGGAAACCCUGACGCAGCAACGCCGCGUGGAGGAUGAAAUAUCUUGGUAUGUAAACUCCUUUCGAUGGGGAAGAUUAUGACGGUACCCAUAGAAGAAGCCCCGGCUAACUUCGCGCCAGCAGCCGC
RNAcentral lists this ribosomal RNA (460 nucleotides) under uncultured bacterium. RNAcentral describes it as "SSU rRNA". It matches the Rfam family "Bacterial small subunit ribosomal RNA", at positions 26 to 518 of the family's 1533-position model. The record is from RNAcentral.